RNAcentral lists this ribosomal RNA (282 nucleotides) under Ehrlichia canis. RNAcentral describes it as "partial 16S ribosomal RNA". It matches the Rfam family "Bacterial small subunit ribosomal RNA", at positions 115 to 414 of the family's 1533-position model. Lineage: Bacteria; Pseudomonadati; Pseudomonadota; Alphaproteobacteria; Rickettsiales; Anaplasmataceae. The record is from RNAcentral.
GCGUAGGAAUCUACCUAGUAGUACGGAAUAGCCAUUAGAAAUGGUGGGUAAUACUGUAUAAUCCCCGAGGGGGAAAGAUUUAUCGCUAUUAGAUGAGCCUACGUUAGAUUAGCUAGUUGGUGAGGUAAUGGCUUACCAAGGCUAUGAUCUAUAGCUGGUCUGAGAGGACGAUCAGCCACACUGGAACUGAGAUACGGUCCAGACUCCUACGGGAGGCAGCAGUGGGGAAUAUUGGACAAUGGGCGAAAGCCUGAUCCAGCUAUGCCGCGUGAGUGAAGAAGG